CAGUAGUCACGAGUUUGAUCAUGGCUCAGAACGAACGCUGGCGGCAUGCCUAACACAUGCAAGUCGAACGAGACCUUCGGGUCUAGUGGCGCACGGGUGCGUAACGCGUGGGAAUCUGCCCUUUGCUUCGGAAUAACAGUUAGAAAUGACUGCUAAUACCGGAUGAUGUCUUCGGACCAAAGAUUUAUCGGCAAAGGAUGAGCCCGCGUAGGAUUAGGUAGUUGGUGGGGUAAAGGCCUACCAAGCCGACGAUCCUUAGCUGGUCUGAGAGGAUGAUCAGCCACACUGGGACUGAGACACGGCCCAGACUCCUACGGGAGGCAGCAGUGGGGAAUAUUGGACAAUGGGGCGAAAGCCUGAUCCAGCAAUGCCGCGUGAGUGAUGAAGGCCUUCGGGUCGUAAAGCUCUUUUACCAGGGAUGAUAAUGACAGUACCUGGAGAAUAAGCUCCGGCUAACUCCGUG
Molecule: ribosomal RNA, 463 nt
Filed under: uncultured bacterium
Lineage: Bacteria
Description: bacterial SSU rRNA
Rfam family: Bacterial small subunit ribosomal RNA
Source: RNAcentral